UUCACACAAAAUGGAGCCUCUAAUUGAUUGUUUUAGUUUGGGACUAAUACACUAUUAACUUAUUUACUAAUGAAUGUGAACUGCAAAGAUGUUUUAUACAAGGCUGCACAUGGAAUUGUGUAUUGUGUGAACCUAUUGUUGGAAUUCUCCAUCUACCUGAAUAGUGGUUGUGAACUGCCAUGCUUGUUGCCUGUUUUUUGGAAUGGUCGAUAUUGCAUAUACCCUCCCUUUUGUGCAAAUGUGCCAAUAUUAUUGCUUCAUUCCCUUAAAAAUAUGAACUUUCAAAUCUUUUCCAUGCACACCCAGGUAGGUGUAGGUGAUCUAUAUAUCACACCCUGUCUGAAUCACCUGCUCACCAGAUGCAUAUAUAGCCAGGCCAACAUCAAUCUUUCAUUAGGGACCUUCUGUGUAUCCUGAGGAAGUGUGGCUUACCACAUGAAAUGCGUAGAGGAUCUCAGAAGUUUCCAGGAUUUUAAAGAAUUUUUAUUCAAUGCUUAUAUUAAUCUCUGGGGUAUCCCCACAGGAUACACAGAAGGUCUCUGAUGGAAGAUUGAUGUUUGGCCUAUCUAUAUAAGCAUCGAACAUUUUCUUUCCAGACAUAGGAAGUCCUGUUUAAAGCUUUCAGUUUCAAUAUCUUCUGGAAUAAAUCAUGUGGCUCCAUUCCUUC
Xenopus tropicalis (tropical clawed frog) is the source of this 667-nucleotide long non-coding RNA. RefSeq lists it as uncharacterized. The transcript is spliced from 3 exons. NCBI's taxonomy places the organism in Eukaryota, Metazoa, Chordata, Amphibia, Anura, Pipidae. The record is from RefSeq and is a predicted model, not a curated record.